CGGACGGGUGAGUAAUGUAUGGGGAUCUGCCUGAUGGCGGGGGAUAACUACUGGAAACGGUAGCUAAUACCGCAUAAUGUCUACGGACCCAAGCGGGGGACCUCCGGGCCUCGCGCCAUCAGAUGAACCCAUAUGGGAUUAGCUUGUAGGUAAGGUAACGGCUUACCUAGGCGACGAUCCCUAGCUGGUCUGAGAGGAUGACCAGCCACACUGGAACUGAGGCACGGUCCAG
Molecule: ribosomal RNA, 232 nt
Filed under: uncultured bacterium
Lineage: Bacteria
Description: partial 16S ribosomal RNA
Rfam family: Bacterial small subunit ribosomal RNA
Source: RNAcentral